UGGGGGAAUAUUGGGCAAUGGGCGAAAGCCUGACCCAGCAACGCCGCGUGAAGGAAGAAGGUUUUCGGAUUGUAAACUUCUUUUAUCAGGGACGAAGAAAGUGACGGUACCUGAUGAAUAAGCCACGGCUAACUACGUGCCAGCAGCCGCGGUAAUACGUAGGUGGCAAGCGUUAUCCGGAUUUACUGGGUGUAAAGGGCGCGUAGGCGGGGAUGCAAGUCAGAUGUGAAAUCUAUGGGCUUAACCCAUAAACUGCAUUUGAAACUGCAUAGCUUGAGUGAAGUAGAGGCAGGCGGAAUUCCCCGUGUAGCGGUGAAAUGCGUAGAGAUGGGGAGGAACACCAGUGGCGAAGGCGGCCUGCUGGGCUUUAACUGACGCUGUGGCACG
Molecule: ribosomal RNA, 387 nt
Filed under: uncultured Oscillospiraceae bacterium
Lineage: Bacteria; Bacillati; Bacillota; Clostridia; Eubacteriales; Oscillospiraceae
Description: bacterial SSU rRNA
Rfam family: Bacterial small subunit ribosomal RNA
Source: RNAcentral